This 1388-nucleotide long non-coding RNA is filed under the name Mytilus galloprovincialis (Mediterranean mussel). Lineage: Eukaryota; Metazoa; Mollusca; Bivalvia; Mytilida; Mytilidae. The record is from RNAcentral.
GUUCGUGUUACUGUUAACAAUACACAUCUUAAAUAUAUUCCUAUCAUUGCAUUUAUUUUUCAUUGGUUCUCGGAAGAUUGUCGUCCAUUUAAGUGCAUUUUUACGGGACUUUCCUUUAAUAAUAUAACAUUGGAUGUAAAUCAAAAGAAUAAGCACAUCAACAAUCAACUUAUCCCGAAAGGGACUUUCCUUUAAUAAUAUUACCUUGGAUUUAAAAAAAAAAAGGAAUAAGCACAUCCCCUUUUCCAGGAAUUUACAUCAAGUUGAUAUUUCGAUGAGAGUUUCUGGUAAUGUAUCAAACUAUCUGGAAAUGAAAUGAACUAUUAUUUAGAUAAUGCCCUCCAUACGAGUAAGAGUAAAUUAUGAGAGUGAAACAUGUAAAAAAAAUCUAAAGAAUAUAACCAAAACUUGAUUUUGCCUAUUCAAUAUUUUGAUUCGAGUGUAACCGAUUAGUUUUUGCAGACAAAAUGCGUGUCUAGCGUACACAAUAUAAUUCUUUUUAUGGUGUAUUUGUUGCAAAAUAGAAAGGCAAAAUGCAUUUAUUUCGAAGUUAGUCCUGUAUACAAUUUCCAUUGUAUAAUGUUUGUAUUUUACGUAUUGUUGUUCUCAUAUCAUCUCAACUAACAAGCCCGUGGAUAUCCGUUUAUGAACCUUCACCUUGUUCAAGUAUUGAUGGUUUGUGAACCCAUAAAAGUAAAUAGCUAGUCUUCUAGUAGCAAAAAGUAGAAAAGAAGAAGUUCAGAAUUAUUUUCGUCUGUACUAAAGCUCCGUUCAAUCAAUAAACGUUAUACUGUCUGCUUUGUCAUUAACUGAGAACGUUCAAAACAGAUCAUUUGUUGAUAAAGAAUUGCCGAGUUGGAUGCGUUCGUGUAUGCAAAAAACGUAAAAAGGAAUUUGGUGUAGACAACACUGUAAUUUAAAUCAACGGAAAUUGAGAAGAUGAGAUUCAGAAGAUGAUGGUUAUCUUUAAGAAUGAAUACAUACAUAGAUGUAAAAAUUAAAAAAAGUAGUUUAUAAGCCACAUUGUGUUCCCCUUUCAAAACCGAUUAAGUAUAGAUUAUCGGGUUUUCUACACAUUGAUACCGUAAAUAUCAGCCGCAAGCCACAAUGUGAACCUUGUUGGCGAGUGUAGCGCAGCGAACGAGUUAAAAAGUUCACAUUGUGUUCGAGCGGUUGAUAUUUACGAUAUCUUUACGAAGAAAACCCAGUUAUCUUUUUAUCGUUGUAUUACUGGUCUUUUCUUUCCCUAAGACAGUUUUUAGCUUGACGAAAAAGCAAGCUUGAUAACUUCUCCUCUCACAUUGUGACGUCGCUGAUUAAUGCUGGUCUCGUUUUGAAGUAUUGAUACGAGAAUUACGUAGCGACAGAGCAGGGUGAUAUUGGCGUAG